CUCGUAGGUGGCCAACUAAGUCGGACGUGAAAUCCCUCGGCUUAACCGGGGAACUGCGUCCGAUACUGGAUGGCUUGAGUUUGGGAGAGGGAUGCGGAAUUCCAGGUGUAGCGGUGAAAUGCGUAGAUAUCUGGAGGAACACCGGUGGCGAAGGCGGCAUCCUGGACCAACACUGACACUGAGGAGCGAAAGCCAGGGGAGCAAACG
Molecule: ribosomal RNA, 207 nt
Filed under: uncultured bacterium
Lineage: Bacteria
Description: partial 16S ribosomal RNA
Rfam family: Bacterial small subunit ribosomal RNA
Source: RNAcentral